CGGACGGGUGAGUAACGCGUGAGAAUCUGCCUUCAGGACGGGGACAACAACUGGAAACGGUUGCUAAUACCCGAUAUGCCGCGAGGUGAAAAGUAUUUCGCCUGAAGAUGAGCUCGCGUCCGAUUAGCUAGUAGGUGUGGUAAUGGCGCACCUAGGCAACGAUCGGUAGCUGGUCUGAGAGGAUGAGCAGCCACACUGGGACUGAGACACGGCCCAGACUCCUACGGGAGGCAGCAGUGGGGAAUUUUCCGCAAUGGGCGAAAGCCUGACGGAGCAACGCCGCGUGAGGGAAGAAGGUCUUUGGAUUGUAAACCUCUUUCCUCAAGGAAGAAGUCAGUGACGGUACUUGAGGAAUCAGCAUCGGCUAACUCCGUGCCAGCAGCCGCGGUAAUACGGGGGAUGCAAGCGUUAUCCGGAAUUAUUGGGCGUAAAGCGUUCGUAGGCGGCCAAAUAAGUCUGCUGUCAAAGUGCGGAGCUUAACUCCGUAAGAGCAGUGGAAACUGUGUGGCUUGAGUAUGGUAGGGGUAGAGGGAAUUCCCAGUGUAGCGGUGAAAUGCGUAGAUAUUGGGAAGAACACCGGUGGCGAAAGCGCUCUACUGGGCCAUAACUGACGCUGAGGGACGAAAGCUAGGGGAGCGAAAGGGAUUAGAUACCCCUGUAGUC
This 663-nucleotide ribosomal RNA is filed under the name uncultured cyanobacterium. RNAcentral describes it as "bacterial SSU rRNA". It matches the Rfam family "Bacterial small subunit ribosomal RNA", at positions 99 to 795 of the family's 1533-position model. The record is from RNAcentral. Lineage: Bacteria; Bacillati; Cyanobacteriota.